GCACUCGCCUCGGCAGCACAUACACUAAAAUUGGAACAAAACAGAGAAGAUUAGCAUGGCCCUUGCGCAAGGAUGACAAAAAAAAUUAAUAAAAAAAAAGAAAAAAA
This is a small nuclear RNA of Lemur catta (Ring-tailed lemur), 107 nucleotides long. The record is from RefSeq and is a predicted model, not a curated record. NCBI's taxonomy places the organism in Eukaryota, Metazoa, Chordata, Mammalia, Primates, Lemuridae.